RNAcentral lists this transfer RNA (92 nucleotides) under Daldinia loculata. Its description in RNAcentral is "tRNA-Arg". It matches the Rfam family "tRNA". From Rfam's summary of the family: Transfer RNA (tRNA) molecules are approximately 80 nucleotides in length. Their secondary structure includes four short double-helical elements and three loops (D, anti-codon, and T loops). Lineage: Eukaryota; Fungi; Ascomycota; Sordariomycetes; Xylariales; Hypoxylaceae. The record is from RNAcentral.
GCCGCACUAGAGAAAUGGUUAACUCGUCGGCCUCCUACUGCUUAAGGAUGAAAAUAAGCCGAAGAUUCCCGGUUCGAGUCCGGGGUGUGGUG